GAAUGCCUCUUGCCUCCGGAGCGCGACGGCAGCAUGGUUACUACACAUGAGCAGAGCGCGCUCACUCGGCGUAGUAUACGAGAGGCGCCUGACGCCUUGCCAUUAAGCUACGCUGUGCUGUGAGGGUCACAAAUCAUAUACUUGUACAUUAAGUCACCAAGUGUCCCAAUCUGGUCACUGUGGGAAUUUGAAUUCUUUCAAGAUCCUGUGUAAAUUUGGGAAACUCUACAAUUACACUCAGGAUUCAGGAGUUUUGCUUCACAAGUGAAAGACUACACAAUGCGAUCUCGUUGAGGGCUACAUCCCUGUCUUCUUAAAGGGGGGAAAAAAGAAACCUUUGGUGAGAUCAAUGCGGAACAGGAGAGCUAAAGGGGAGAGAUAAUCUUGGACACAAGAUAAGAUCUCCUCUACCCCCCCACACCCCCACACCCACGCCCCCACCUUCGUUCGUCAACUCCACAGACCUUCAGCCUGCCCUCGUCCUGACGAAAGGAGAAGAAGAAGUGAGCGGCUUCAGCUGCUGAGCUGAAGAAGAGAGAUUAGAGUCGAACUGAUCCUGGCGUCUGUGAGAUGAAACUCGGGGAGGGAACACUCAACUGCAUCAGGGAGCGAACGCCAACAACUGACCCUGAGUUUGACAGUCUGGAAGAAGACACUGCCCUCCUCAGAUCCUUUGGCCAUCCUGUGCUCGAGAAUGAGUGGAACCGACUUUGCAGCUAGUUGCCGUGGAUGUUUGUGCACCACAGAAAGGCCGUCUCUUGCAGCAUGUCCAAUGCUAUGUUUCUCCUGAUGCUGUGCAAGGUCAGCUUGAGAAGAAAACUACAGAUUUUUUCUACGAAAAUGGUAAACACUUCCAUCAAUGAUGAAGAAAGGGGAAUUCAAGAUAAGGAAAGCAAGGAAGAGUCCAUACUGGCUAUGCUGGGGAUCAUUGGAACCAUCCUCAACCUGGUUGUCAUCAUUUUUGUGUACAUCUACACAACAUUGUGACCAGAGAGAUCUCUGAAAUGAUUGGCAAACCUUACAUGUUGGAGGACUGGGUGCUGAGCAGCAAAGCUAUUGACUUGCUUGUUGAUCAAAGGGGGCUCAAAGAGGAUCAUACCAAGAGACCAUUGUCUGUGGGACCCUUGAAACUGGGGCACUGGUGUGAUCAAAAGUUAUCAUAUGAACACUGUUUCCAGUUCUUCUGUAUAUAUGCAUGAGAUAAUGACUCCCACAAAUGCAGCUUGGAGUAACUGUUCAUGUUCCAAUUUAGCCAAGACCCACAUCACAGAACAGCAUCCGAAAUGCAGUUUUCAUUAAGACUGUGUAAAUCACGCAUUGAGAUUAGGAGACAACAAAAACAAGAGGCUGUAGCACAAUAUUGUGAGCUGAGCGAGCAUUCUUAUAUAAACGGGGAAAACAAUAGAUUUUUACACAGUACACCUUGAAGCUUAAGACUGAAAGAUAUUUCAGACAUGCUGUGAGCUACUAUGUGUUUCUCAUUUAUAAUGAUAAAUACUCAGAAUCUAUUAUAAGAUAUUUUGUUUAUACCAACAUGACUUUGAUAUUUGUAAUGUGUAUGUAGGAUAAAAUGGUUGGGGUAAUAUUUUAUUCACCCUUGAAUUAUGUUUUUACUGCCUAGAGACAUAGCAAAAGCUGUUUGGAAUUAUUUGAUGCAACUUAUUCUUACAUGUGUUGCCAGAAAUAUGCUACUUGGUUAUUUGGGUUUAAUUAAUAAUUCAUAGACUCAGUUGAGCCCUAGGGCUAAAAUUAAAAUAGUGGACAUCAGCAAGAAAUAUAAGGAAUAUAAGGUUUUUUCUUGAACCAGGGUCAACACCCCUUCCCUUUACAAAGAGUUCUUCAGGAUCCUAAGUGGCAACUGAUUCACAAUCUCUCUCAGCGUUACGACUGAAGGCUCUCUCUCAGAUGGUAACUUUCCCAUGAAGCAUCAAUUUAUUUUUGUUCCAAAGAUCGGCAGCCAGUCCUAGCAUACCAACACCUUUCCAACUGUGUCUUCUCAGGCGAUUUUACCCUGGUGUCAUCCGGCAUACAAGCUUCAGCCAUUUAAUAAGAAGGCCAUGUGAUGGUAUGGAUGUUGGAUAGUGUAUAGUUUGCACAAUUCUACAUAAGUAACAGUGACAUUGUAUGUGUAAAUAAGGGUACAUGGUGCAUACUUGGUCUUAGUGCAUUUAAUGUGUUUCUAGGUAUACAACAACAUAAGAUAAAGCGAUACUUUCAUUUAAACGUUAUGCUUAAACUUUAGUGGAUUCAUUGAAUAUACUCAUGUCUACAGCUGGGUUAUUAUAUCAAGACUGUUUUGUAUGACCACUCCAUAUUUACUCUAUUACAUUGUACAGUUAUUUCUUUUCACAAAGACAUAUACACUACCUGGAAAUAAUCAUAAUACUGCCUUAUGCAUGAAACUAUUUUUUUUUGUGUGGAUCCAGGAAGACAGUAACAGCUUGUUAAAUGUCAGACAGCAAUGAUUAUAACAUGUCAAUGUAUUGUAUUUUAAAUGGUUUCAGCUUAUGUUAAGGUAUAGGACUAUAACUUGCACAGGUGAUGCACUAAUGAUAUCCUUUAAGUCGAUUAGUUAGCCGAUAUUUACAAUGUUGCAGUCCAUUGCAGUUCAUUCCAUUUCUGUAAGGGGUAAAGGUGGUAGUAGAAUCAUAAAGCACAAAUAAAGAGGGCACGGUUACUUAAAUAUAUGAAUUUAAAAAAAAAAUUUCUGUGCCCAGAAAA
Molecule: long non-coding RNA, 2721 nt
Organism: Anguilla anguilla (European eel)
Lineage: Eukaryota; Metazoa; Chordata; Actinopteri; Anguilliformes; Anguillidae
Exons: 2
Source: RefSeq, a predicted model, not a curated record